Molecule: long non-coding RNA, 817 nt
Organism: Ornithodoros turicata
Lineage: Eukaryota; Metazoa; Arthropoda; Arachnida; Ixodida; Argasidae
Exons: 2
Source: RefSeq, a predicted model, not a curated record
UCGGUACCUGCUCCAUCGUGUCCCUCACCGCCGCCAUCGUCGCACCCUUUUUGAGGGAUCUGGGCACCGCAACCAACAAAAGUGUCCCCUACGGUCUCUGCUGUGCUCUCUGCAUUUUCAGCGGCCUUUCAGCACUGUACCUGCCAGAAACUACAGGGGUGCAGCUUACGGAUACACUUGAAGAAGGAGAGACUUUUCAAGUCGAGACAGCCGCAGCAGCUUCGUGAAGAGCAACCUCGAAUGUGUCAUCCAAUUCAGCUAACUUGUGGUUUAUGAGCGUGACAUCGUUUAUGGAUUUUCCAUGUGCCUUUGCCACAUUCCUGAUGGACACUGCUGGGUGUUUCACGGAAACCCACAGGUGAAUACUUAGGAAAGAGCUGAAGCUAUCGAAGCUUUCAUUUUGGUGAACAUCCUCCGGACAUCGGUUGUGAACUGACAUGUAACUGGCUUAUUCGCAUAAGCUCAUUAAUUAAAUCCUGUCUUUUAAAUUUUGCUAGGGAUGCUUUCGCCCUCUUUGACUUAGCUAUCGGACCUUUAUUGGAUAAUAUCAAUAUCAGGUGGUGUUAAAGUGGGUGGUGGCAUAAGGAUUUCACAAUUCAGUAUUCCUUCACCCUUCCUCCUCCACCUACAAGGCACACAGCGCUCGCGGUGCGUUCGUCGUCAUUACAAUGAAAGUACACUGCUGCGAAGUAUAUAAGGCCCGAGACAAAGAGUACAGACAAAUUACCUUUACACAGCAACAGUUUAACGAAGAGUAACCCCUAUGAACUCAAAAACCUCCGGAGAGGAGUCAAAAGGAAUAAAGGAGGGAUUGUGA